RNAcentral lists this ribosomal RNA (2319 nucleotides) under Salmonella enterica. Its description in RNAcentral is "bacterial LSU rRNA". It matches the Rfam family "Bacterial large subunit ribosomal RNA", at positions 594 to 2812 of the family's 2925-position model. Lineage: Bacteria; Pseudomonadati; Pseudomonadota; Gammaproteobacteria; Enterobacterales; Enterobacteriaceae. The record is from RNAcentral.
UGACUGCGUACCUUUUGUAUAAUGGGUCAGCGACUUAUAUUCUGUAGCAAGGUUAACCGUAUAGGGGAGCCGGAGGGAAACCGAGUCUUAACCGGGCGUUAAGUUGCAGGGUAUAGACCCGAAACCCGGUGAUCUAGCCAUGGGCAGGUUGAAGGUUGGGUAACACUAACUGGAGGACCGAACCGACUAAUGUUGAAAAAUUAGCGGAUGACCUGUGGCUGGGGGUGAAAGGCCAAUCAAACCGGGAGAUAGCUGGUUCUCCCCGAAAGCUAUUUAGGUAGCGCCUCGUGAAUUCAUCUCCGGGGGUAGAGCACUGUUUCGGCUAGGGGGCCAUCCCGGCUUACCAACCCGAUGCAAACUGCGAAUACCGGAGAAUGUUAUCACGGGAGACACACGGCGGGUGCUAACGUCCGUCGUGAAGAGGGAAACAACCCAGACCGCCAGCUAAGGUCCCAAAGUCAUGGUUAAGUGGGAAACGAUGUGGGAAGGCCCAGACAGCCAGGAUGUUGGCUUAGAAGCAGCCAUCAUUUAAAGAAAGCGUAAUAGCUCACUGGUCGAGUCGGCCUGCGCGGAAGAUGUAACGGGGCUAAACCAUGCACCGAAGCUGCGGCAGCGAACGUAUCACCCAAGACAACUUUACGGAGUUGACGAUUGACGGAGCGAAGCGACGUCAAAGCGUUCAUUAAAGUCGAGUUGGCUUAGGGAUACGUUCGUUGGGUAGGGGAGCGUUCUGUAAGCCUGUGAAGGUGUGUCGUGAGGCAUGCUGGAGGUAUCAGAAGUGCGAAUGCUGACAUAAGUAACGAUAAAGCGGGUGAAAAGCCCGCUCGCCGGAAGACCAAGGGUUCCUGUCCAACGUUAAUCGGGGCAGGGUGAGUCGACCCCUAAGGCGAGGCCGAAAGGCGUAGUCGAUGGGAAACGGGUUAAUAUUCCCGUACUUGGUGUUACUGCGAAGGGGGGACGGAGAAGGCUAUGUUGGCCGGGCGACGGUUGUCCCGGUUUAAGCGUGUAGGUGUGUGUUCCAGGUAAAUCCGGUUCACUUUAACACUGAGGCGUGACGACGAGGCACUACGGUGCUGAAGCAACAAAUGCCCUGCUUCCAGGAAAAGCCUCUAAGCAUCAGGUAACACGAAAUCGUACCCCAAACCGACACAGGUGGUCAGGUAGAGAAUACCAAGGCGCUUGAGAGAACUCGGGUGAAGGAACUAGGCAAAAUGGUGCCGUAACUUCGGGAGAAGGCACGCUGACACGUAGGUGAAGUGAUUUACUCAUGGAGCUGAAGUCAGUCGAAGAUACCAGCUGGCUGCAACUGUUUAUUAAAAACACAGCACUGUGCAAACACGAAAGUGGACGUAUACGGUGUGACGCCUGCCCGGUGCCGGAAGGUUAAUUGAUGGGGUCAGCGCAAGCGAAGCUCCUGAUCGAAGCCCCGGUAAACGGCGGCCGUAACUAUAACGGUCCUAAGGUAGCGAAAUUCCUUGUCGGGUAAGUUCCGACCUGCACGAAUGGCGUAAUGAUGGCCAGGCUGUCUCCACCCGAGACUCAGUGAAAUUGAACUCGCUGUGAAGAUGCAGUGUACCCGCGGCAAGACGGAAAGACCCCGUGAACCUUUACUAUAGCUUGACACUGAACAUUGAGCCUUGAUGUGUAGGAUAGGUGGGAGGCUUUGAAGUGUGGACGCCAGUCUGCAUGGAGCCGACCUUGAAAUACCACCCUUUAAUGUUUGAUGUUCUAACGUGGACCCGUAAUCCGGGUUGCGGACAGUGUCUGGUGGGUAGUUUGACUGGGGCGGUCUCCUCCUAAAGAGUAACGGAGGAGCACGAAGGUUGGCUAAUCCUGGUCGGACAUCAGGAGGUUAGUGCAAUGGCAUAAGCCAGCUUGACUGCGAGCGUGACGGCGCGAGCAGGUGCGAAAGCAGGUCAUAGUGAUCCGGUGGUUCUGAAUGGAAGGGCCAUCGCUCAACGGAUAAAAGGUACUCCGGGGAUAACAGGCUGAUACCGCCCAAGAGUUCAUAUCGACGGCGGUGUUUGGCACCUCGAUGUCGGCUCAUCACAUCCUGGGGCUGAAGUAGGUCCCAAGGGUAUGGCUGUUCGCCAUUUAAAGUGGUACGCGAGCUGGGUUUAGAACGUCGUGAGACAGUUCGGUCCCUAUCUGCCGUGGGCGCUGGAGAACUGAGGGGGGCUGCUCCUAGUACGAGAGGACCGGAGUGGACGCAUCACUGGUGUUCGGGUUGUCAUGCCAAUGGCACUGCCCGGUAGCUAAAUGCGGAAGAGAUAAGUGCUGAAAGCAUCUAAGCACGAAACUUGCCCCGAGAUGAGUUCU